GAUGAAGGUCAAGCUGAUGUUACUGCUGCUUGUAAAAAAUAUCGUAUCAAUCCUGAGCUCUCUAGAUCUGAAAUUGCUGAGAUACUAAUCACUAAGACCCCAAAAGCUAAAGAAAGUGCAUACAAGCAUGACAAGACUAUAUAGUACUGCAGCCUGGACAGGAAGAAGUAAAAGAAU
Long non-coding RNA from Amphimedon queenslandica, 177 nucleotides. RefSeq lists it as uncharacterized. The transcript is spliced from 4 exons. The record is from RefSeq and is a predicted model, not a curated record. Lineage: Eukaryota; Metazoa; Porifera; Demospongiae; Haplosclerida; Niphatidae.